GGGGAAUUAGCUCAGUGGAUAGAGCAGCGGUUUUCUAAACCGUUGGUCGCAGGUUCGAAUCCUGCAUUCCCUGCCA
This 76-nucleotide transfer RNA is filed under the name Opitutales bacterium. RNAcentral's name for it is "tRNA-Arg". It matches the Rfam family "tRNA". Rfam says of the family: Transfer RNA (tRNA) molecules are approximately 80 nucleotides in length. Their secondary structure includes four short double-helical elements and three loops (D, anti-codon, and T loops). Further hydrogen bonds mediate the characteristic L-shaped molecular structure. tRNAs have two regions of fundamental functional importance: the anti-codon, which is responsible for specific mRNA codon recognition, and the 3' end, to which the tRNAs corresponding amino acid is attached (by aminoacyl-tRNA synthetases). tRNAs cope with the degeneracy of the genetic code in two manners: having more than one tRNA (with a specific anti-codon) for a particular amino acid; and 'wobble' base-pairing, i.e. permitting non-standard base-pairing at the 3rd anti-codon position. The record is from RNAcentral. Lineage: Bacteria; Pseudomonadati; Verrucomicrobiota; Opitutia; Opitutales. RNAcentral also lists the same sequence under 1 other name.